Lactuca sativa (garden lettuce) is the source of this 2563-nucleotide long non-coding RNA. RefSeq lists it as uncharacterized. Lineage: Eukaryota; Viridiplantae; Streptophyta; Magnoliopsida; Asterales; Asteraceae. The record is from RefSeq and is a predicted model, not a curated record.
AGGUUAGUUUGAAAGUUUUAGAAGAGACUUCCUAGCUAUGAGAGUGCCUAAGCGCGGGUAGAGGAAUCCGACGGCAUCGGCGUCGGCGGACGGAGUGUCUGAGCGGGGGAAGAGGAGGCUGAGGAAUGCGAUGUGGAUGGUCUCGUUUCAACGGCCGAUUGAGGAAUAAGGAUGGAAUGUAAAUGCUAUAUGGGUACUGAAGGGCAAUGUUGCCUAAAUUCCCAAUUUUCUCUCCUUACUUUCUUUUCUCUUCUUUUCUUUUCUCUGUGCUACAAUUCGAGAAGACGAGAACUAGGCGUUAGUUAGUCGUAAAAUGUUGAAAAGCUAGUCAUAACACCUUCUCGUCUAUACCCAUUUGAAUGGAAAACGAAUUUGAAGAAAGGGAAAGGAAGAAGAGGGCGAUUUCAAUGCUUGAGGUUGGAUCUAGAAUUGCACAUGGAAGUAUUAUUGCUAGGAAUUGAUUACAGCUUAAGAAAGGAUUAUACACAUAAUUUAACACUGACAGUGCACGAAAAUGAAAUUUCACCCGUUGGGUCUGUGAAGUCUGGCCAGUUUUUCAAAUCGGAUAAGGCUCCAAUCUUAACACAAACGAUGAAUGGAUAGUCAAUGAAACCAUGUUUAGAACUAUAUCAAGGAUUCUUCUCGUAUGUAUAUAAAUAUAAUUUGUUUAUUUUUAGCUUAUGAUUUACUUAUUGUCAGAUCAAUGUCCAUUGAAAUCAAAGUAAGAUGCACGACCACUAGAAAACAGAGAAAGUACCUGUUACAAUAGUUCUUUGUGAACUGCCUUUUCCAGGUCUUUUGAGCUUCUCAAAAUCAUCCCACCACUACGUAACACGAUGUUUCGUGUUCUUGGAUUCGUAUCUCUGAUGUAAAACCAGAUGACCGAAGAAGCUCUCUCGACCCAAUAAUACGGAGACCUUUCAACAAAAGAAUACUCUGUGGAAGAUGGCUUAUGAUUGUACCUUCUAUAUCUAACUCUUUUAAGCAAUCUAAACUUCCAAGUUCCUCAGGCAAUUUCUCAAUCCCAAUACAAUAGCGGAGAUGGAAAUCUUUUAGACAUUUCAUCCUACAGAUGCUUAUCGGGAUAUUCUGUAAUAACUUACAGUUUAUUAUGAUUAGCUUCUCUAAACAUUCUAAUCGGCCAAGAUCCUCAGGUAACUUCUCAAGCAACGAACAAUUAUGAAGGUCGAUAUGUUUCAUCUGUUGCAACAUACAAAUGCUAUCUGGAAGAUGUGUAAUCUUUGCAUGCGACAACUCUAGCUUUUCCAGCAGUUUUAAUCGGCCAAACUCCUCAGGUAACUUCUCAAGCAAUGAACAAGAGAACAGUUCGAGAGAUUUCAGAUGUUUCAACAUACAAAUGCUAUCUGGAAGAUCUUUAAUCAAUGUACAAAACAAAGUCAGCUCCUCUAGACGUUCUAAUCCGCCAAGAUCCUCGGGUAACUUCUCAAGAAACCAACAGGAUAUAAGUUUCAGAGAUUUAAGAUGUUUCAGCUUACACAUGCUCUCCGGAAGAUGAUUAAUCUUUGUAGACAAGAAAAUCAGCUCCUCAAGACAUUCUAACUGGCCGAGGUCCUUGGGCGCCUCUUGAAUACUGCCUUCUAGUUUAAGCUUCCUUAAACGUUGUAACCCACAAAUGCUUCCUGAAAAUGUCUCAAGGUUUGUGCAAGCACACAUACCUAUAGAAAUAAGCAUCUCAAGAUUUCUAGUCAAUGAGUGGUGAUCUUCCUUAUAAAAAUAACUAAAGCGGAAGUUUGGCAAGUCGUUGUCGGGGUGAAGUGGGCAUUGAUCUAGGGACUUUGCAACAACAUGUAACUCAGCUAAAGGAACAACCUCAAGUGAUUCCUCCACACUACAAGAAGCAUCACACUUUAGGUUAAACAAAAAAUCUCUAAACCUCAAGCAACCACUUACGUCUAAGUAGAUAAGCUUUUGUAGACAUCUAAUGGGAGUGUGAAGUUCUACCAAAUUAGAACAUGUAUUAAGAUCUAACCUCUCCAGAUUUGGAGUCAACCCAAGGUCAAGGGUUCUCAACUUUGAAUGACUAAUUUCAAGAUAGGUGAGAUUUUCACAUACAUUAGCCAUGUGAAGUUCUUCCAAAUAAUAACAAUUAUUAAGAUCCAAAUACUUGAGAUUCGGAGUCAGCUUGAUGUCAAGGGUUCUUAACUUUGACCUAGAGAGUAGUAGUACUUCGAGAUUUGAACAACUCGGCAUGUGAAGAUCUAUCAAAUCGAAGCAUUUGUCAAGUAAUAACUUCUUGAGAUUCCGAGCAAACCUAAGGUCAAGGGUCCUCAACCUUGACAUACUGAUGUUAAUAGACAUGAGCUUUAAACAUCCAAUGGGAAUAUGAAGAUCCUCCAAGUUGGAACAUCCUCCAAGAUUCAAUGUCUCGAGAUUUGGAGUAAGUCCAAGGUCAAGGGUCCUCAACAUGGAACGACUGAGGUCAAGGUAUUUGAGCUUGUUAAGAACCUAGCAUAAGCAAAAACAAUAUGAAUAUUCGUUUAAUACCAAAGAAAUAGAUGUAUAACAUAUUUAAUGAAUCAUGCAAUAGAAUGAAUCAACUAUA